UACAGAGGCCACAAGCGUUAUUCGGAAUCACUGGGCUUAAAGGGUGCGUAGGCUGGUCCGUAAGUGUUCUGUGAAAGCCCCCGGCUCAACCGGGGAAUUGCAGGGCAUACUGCGGAUCUUGAGGCAUGUAGGGGCGGGCAGAACAGUAGGUGGAGCGGUGAAAUGCGUAGAUAUCUACUGGAAUGCCGAUGGGGAAGCCGGCCCGCUGGGCAUGUCCUGACGCUGAGGCACGAAAGCGUGGGGAGCAAACAGG
RNAcentral lists this ribosomal RNA (253 nucleotides) under uncultured prokaryote. RNAcentral describes it as "partial 16S ribosomal RNA". It matches the Rfam family "Bacterial small subunit ribosomal RNA", at positions 524 to 776 of the family's 1533-position model. The record is from RNAcentral.